Molecule: ribosomal RNA, 610 nt
Filed under: Bacillus halotolerans
Lineage: Bacteria; Bacillati; Bacillota; Bacilli; Caryophanales; Bacillaceae
Description: bacterial SSU rRNA
Rfam family: Bacterial small subunit ribosomal RNA
Source: RNAcentral
GCAGUCGAGCGGACAGAUGGGAGCUUGCUCCCUGAUGUUAGCGGCGGACGGGUGAGUAACACGUGGGUAACCUGCCUGUAAGACUGGGAUAACUCCGGGAAACCGGGGCUAAUACCGGAUGCUUGUUUGAACCGCAUGGUUCAAACAUAAAAGGUGGCUUCGGCUACCACUUACAGAUGGACCCGCGGCGCAUUAGCUAGUUGGUGAGGUAAUGGCUCACCAAGGCAACGAUGCGUAGCCGACCUGAGAGGGUGAUCGGCCACACUGGGACUGAGACACGGCCCAGACUCCUACGGGAGGCAGCAGUAGGGAAUCUUCCGCAAUGGACGAAAGUCUGACGGAGCAACGCCGCGUGAGUGAUGAAGGUUUUCGGAUCGUAAAGCUCUGUUGUUAGGGAAGAACAAGUACCGUUCGAAUAGGGCGGUACCUUGACGGUACCUAACCAGAAAGCCACGGCUAACUACGUGCCAGCAGCCGCGGUAAUACGUAGGUGGCAAGCGUUGUCCGGAAUUAUUGGGCGUAAAGGGCUCGCAGGCGGUUCCUUAAGUCUGAUGUGAAAGCCCCCGGCUCAACCGGGGAGGGUCAUUGGAAACUGGGGAACUUGAGUGCA